This 70-nucleotide transfer RNA is filed under the name Dipodomys ordii (Ord's kangaroo rat). It matches the Rfam family "tRNA". Rfam says of the family: Transfer RNA (tRNA) molecules are approximately 80 nucleotides in length. Their secondary structure includes four short double-helical elements and three loops (D, anti-codon, and T loops). The record is from Rfam by way of RNAcentral. Lineage: Eukaryota; Metazoa; Chordata; Mammalia; Rodentia; Heteromyidae.
GGAAAUGUGGCUUAGUGGUAGAGUGCUUGCCUAGUAAGCAUGAAGCCCUGGGUUCGAUUCCUCAGUACCA